Molecule: ribosomal RNA, 330 nt
Filed under: uncultured eukaryote
Lineage: Eukaryota
Description: partial 18S ribosomal RNA
Rfam family: Eukaryotic small subunit ribosomal RNA
Source: RNAcentral
CCCUUAGAUGUUCGGGGCCGCACGCGCGCUACACUGAAGGAAUCAGCACGUCUUUCUCCUUGUCCGAAAGGACUGGGUAACCCGCUGAACCUCCUUCGUGCUAGGGAUUGGGGCUUGUAAUUCUUCCCCAUGAACGAGGAAUUCCCAGUAAGCGCGAGUCAUAAGCUCGCGUUGAUUACGUCCCUGCCCUUUGUACACACCGCUCGUCGCUACUACCGAUUGGAUGGUUUAGUGAGAUCCUCGGAUUGGUCCCGGAGCGGCCUCUGGUCGUGCCGGAGUGCCGAAAAGAAUGUCGAACUUGAUCAUCUAGAGGAAGUAAAAGUCGUAACA